GUGCCAGCCGCCGCGGUAAUACCGGCAGCCCGAGUGAUGGCCGAUCUUAUUGGGCCUAAAGCGUCCGUAGCUGGCCGCGCAAGUCCAUCGGAAAAUCCACCCGCCCAACGGGUGGGCGUCCGGUGGAAACUGCACAGCUUGGGACCGGAAGGCCCGACGGGUACGUCCAGGGUAGGAGUGAAAUCCUGUAAUCCUGGACGGACCGCCGAUGGCGAAAGCACUUCGAGAAAACGGAUCCGACAGUGAGGGACGAAAGCCAGGGUCUCCAACCGGAUUAGAUACCCUGGUAGUCC
RNAcentral lists this ribosomal RNA (293 nucleotides) under uncultured bacterium. RNAcentral describes it as "partial 16S ribosomal RNA". It matches the Rfam family "Archaeal small subunit ribosomal RNA", at positions 455 to 747 of the family's 1478-position model. The record is from RNAcentral.